Molecule: ribosomal RNA, 301 nt
Filed under: uncultured bacterium
Lineage: Bacteria
Description: partial 16S ribosomal RNA
Rfam family: Bacterial small subunit ribosomal RNA
Source: RNAcentral
CAGUCGCCACGGUAAUACGUAGGGUGCAAGCGUUAAUCGGAAUUACUGGGCGUAAAGCGUGCGCAGGCGGUUUGUUAAGACAGAUGUGAAAUCCCCGGGCUUAACCUGGGAACUGCAUUUGUGACUGGCAAGCUAGAGUAUGGCAGAGGGGGGUGGAAUUCCGCGUGUAGCAGUGAAAUGCGUAGAUAUGCGGAGGAACACCGAUGGCGAAGGCAGCCCCCUGGGCCAAUACUGACGCUCAUGCACGAAAGCGAGGGGAGCAAACAGGAUUAGAUACCCGUGUAGUCCCUGUCUCUUAUAC